Molecule: transfer RNA, 73 nt
Filed under: Calditrichota bacterium
Lineage: Bacteria; Pseudomonadati; Calditrichota
Description: Calditrichaeota bacterium tRNA-Lys
Rfam family: tRNA
About the family: Transfer RNA (tRNA) molecules are approximately 80 nucleotides in length.
Source: RNAcentral
GAUUCGGUAGCUCAGCUGGUAGAGCAGCACCCUUUUAAGGUGAUGGUCGACGGUUCGAAUCCGUCCCGAGUCA